GUGUACCACGCGUACACUCCGGUGCUGAGCGCGCAUCCACGCCCACCUGCCGACUGCUCGCGACCUUCCGUCAGCC
Molecule: small RNA, 76 nt
Filed under: Xanthomonas codiaei
Lineage: Bacteria; Pseudomonadati; Pseudomonadota; Gammaproteobacteria; Lysobacterales; Lysobacteraceae
Also listed under: 1 other name
Description: sX9 sRNA
Rfam family: Xanthomonas sRNA sX9
Source: RNAcentral